GAUGAACGCUGGCGGCGUGCUUAACACAUGCAAGUCGAACGGAAAGGCCCUGCUUUUGUGGGGUGCUCGAGUGGCGCACGGGUGAGUAACACGUGAGUAAACUGCCCUUGAAUUUGGGAUAACUUCAGGGAAAUGGGGCUCAUACCGGAUAGGAGAUACUGCUGCACAGGGGGGGUUGGUAAGUUUCGGCGGUUGGGGAUGGACUCGCGGCUUAUCAGCUUGUUGGUGGGGUAGUGGCUUACCAAGGCUUUGACGGGUAGCCGGCCUGAGAGGGUGACCGGCCACAUUGGGACUGAGAGACGGCGCAGACGCCUACGGGAGGCAGCAGUGGGGAAUAUUGCGCAAUGGGCGGAAGCCUGAUGCAGCAACGCCGCGUGCGUGAUGACGUCCUUCGGGGUGUAAACCGCUUUCGCCUGUGACAAAGCGGGAUUGACGGUAAUUGGUAAAGAAGCACCGGCUAACUACGUG
This 468-nucleotide ribosomal RNA is filed under the name uncultured bacterium. RNAcentral describes it as "partial 16S ribosomal RNA". It matches the Rfam family "Bacterial small subunit ribosomal RNA", at positions 28 to 507 of the family's 1533-position model. The record is from RNAcentral.